GGUUAGGGGUGAAAUGCCAAUCGAACUCGGAGCUAGCUGGUUCUCCCCGAAAUGCGUUGAGGCGCAGCGGUUGACGAGGAACCUCGUUUGAGGCCAUGAGCUGUCUAGGGGUAAAGCACUGUAUCGGUGCGGGCUGCGAGAGCGGUACCAAAUCGUAGCAAACUAAGAAUACUAGGCAUGUCUUUCCGUCAACCAGUGAGACGGUGGGGGAUAAGCUCCAUCGUCAAGAGGGAAACAGCCCAGAUCACCAGCUAAGGCCCCUGAAUGAUCGCUAAGUGGAAAAGGAGGUGAGAAUGCCGAAACAGCCAGAAGGUUUGCUUAGAAGCAGCCAUCCUUUAAAGAGUGCGUAAUAGCUCACUGGUGGAGCGUUCUUGCGCCGAAAAUUUACGGGACUAAGCGAUCUGCCGAAGCUGUGGGAUACCAGCAGAAGGAGCUGGUAUCGGUAGGGGAGCGUUCCGCCUUAGGGUGAAGCAUUGGUGUAAACUGGUGUGGACGAAGCGGAAGUGAGAAUGUCGGCUUGAGUAA
RNAcentral lists this ribosomal RNA (525 nucleotides) under Coccomyxa subellipsoidea. RNAcentral's name for it is "bacterial LSU rRNA". It matches the Rfam family "Bacterial large subunit ribosomal RNA", at positions 813 to 1309 of the family's 2925-position model. The record is from RNAcentral. Lineage: Eukaryota; Viridiplantae; Chlorophyta; Trebouxiophyceae; Coccomyxaceae.